AUGCCGACAAUCACGGCUGACUCACCAGAUCAGUUCCGCGGCAAGCUUCGACUUCCACGUUUUGCUUUGCCAAGCCACUAUGAGCUCCAUUUCCGCCCUGACCUCAUGUCCUACACCUUCUCUGGUGUGGUGGCAAUUACUGUCGUCGUCUUAGCACCGACCCGUUUCCUCGUGCUCAAUGUUAUGGAACUCACCAUUGACCGUGCAUCCAUUCACUUCAAGUGUUUGGUGCCAACCGAGGUGGUGUUUUUCAAGGAUGACCAAAUUAUGGUGCUCGGGUUCCGUAAAGAGCUUCCACUAGGUGAGGGUGUUCUCAGGGUGCACUUCAAUGGCACCCUCAAUCAUGAGAUGAUGGGAUUUUACAGGAGUAAAUAUCAGUAUAAGGGUAAGACGACACACAUGGCGGUGACACAGUUUCAGCCUGUGUAUGCGUGGCGAUGCUUUCCCUGUUGGGAUGAGCCUGCUUUUAAGGCGAAGUUCAAGGUAACAUUAGAAGUUUCAUCUGAGAUGGUAGCACUUUCCAACAUGCCUAUAUCUAGUGAGAUAGUGCGUGGUUCUAUGAGGAUUAUCCAUUUUGAGGAAUCACCUCUCAUGUCAACUUAUUUAGUUGCCAUGGUUGUUGGUAUUUUUGACUUUGUUGAGGAUGUAACAUCGAAAGGCACUAAAGUUCGUGUGUACACUGAAGUUGGUAAGAGUUCACAAGGGAAGUUGGCAUUGGAUGUUGGGGUGAAGUCAUUGGAUUUCUAUAAUGAUUACUUUGGCACUCCCUAUGCACUCGCUAAGUUGGAUAUGAUUAGUAUCCCUGAAUUUAAUUGGAUGGGAAUGGAGAAUUACGGACUGAUCACUUUCCAUCCCACGGUCUUUCUUUUUGAUGGUCCAUCUACAACAUCCACAAAACUACAGGAAAUUGCAGUACUUGUGGCACAUGAAUUGGCUCAUCAAUGGUGUGGAAAUCUUGUAACCAUGGAAUGGUGGAAUCACUUAUGGUUAAACGAGGGAUUUGCUACAUGGAUGAGCUAUCAAGCAGUAGAUUCCUUUUUUUCAGAAUGGAAUAUUUUGCUGGAUUUUCUUGAGAACACAAUGUCUACUCUUAAAUUGGAUUCAAUAGCAGGGUCUCAUCCUAUAGAGGUUGAAAUACACCAUAUCAAUGAAAUCGUUAGGAUUUUUGACGACAUCAUUUAUAUUAAAGGCGCUUCUAUUCUUCAAAUGAUACAUAGCUACAUUGGAGCAGAGCGUUUUCAGAUAGCAUUGAAGAAAUAUAUACAAAAGUAUGCCUACUCAAAUGCUAAAACAGAGGAUCUAUGGGUCGUGCUUGAAGAAGAAACUGGCGAGCCAUUCAAGGAUUUCAUGAGUACGUGGACAAAGCAACCAGGGUAUCCUAUAAUUAAUAUAAAACAUAAAGGGAAAGGAAUCCAAGUUGAACAGGCCCAAUUUGUGCUAGAUGGAUCCUCUCGAGCUGGCUUGUGGGAUGUGCCAAUAACUUUAAGAUGCUCUUCAUCAACAAAUAAAUUCAUUUUGAAACACAAGCAUGAUAAUUUUGAUGUAUGUGGUGAACGGGAGAGGGGUGGAAAUAUUUGGAUUAAGUUGAAUGUAAAUGAAACAGGGUUUUAUCGAGUGAAGUAUGACAAAGAAAUUAAAACUAGACUUCAGAACGCAUUAGAGGCCAAUGAGUUCUCUUCAAUGGAAAAAAUUGGAAUUUUGGAGAACUCACUUAUGCUUUCCAUAUCAAGAGAAGACACACUAGCAUCAUUGCUAUGUAUAGCGUAUGCUUGUCGGGAAGUAGCCGACUACAAUGUUUUGACACACAUACAAGCUAUAACUAUAACUGUUUACCAUGUAUCUAUUGAUGCUACGCCUAACUUGGUUGCUGACAUCAAAAAGCUUGUCACUAAAAUUCUUCUGCCACCUACUCUAAAGUUGGGUUGGGAUCCCAAGGAUGGUGAGGGAGACCUAAUAGUAAGUUUGAGAGAAACUCUCUUGGUUUCCCUUGUAAAACUUGGACAUGAUCAUACCAUAAGUGAAGGUCUUCGACGCUUUGACACCUUAAUCCAUGAUCACAACUCUUCUAUCCUUUCUCCUGGUACCAGAAAGGCUGCAUACCUAUCUGUGAUGCAAACUGUUUGUAGUUCAAAUAGAUUUAAAUAUGAUUCUCUUCGACAACUCUACAAGGACUUUGGUGACGAGGAGGAAAAGUUACAUGUCUUAGGCACAUUAUCUUCUUGCCUGGAUAAGGAUAUUGUUCUUGAGUCACUGAAUUUAAUAUUCACUAAUGAGAUCAUUAGUAAAUGGAGAUCAAUUAUAUUUUUAUCUAAUGAAUUCGCCAACUAG
Molecule: ribosomal RNA, 2328 nt
Filed under: Triticum aestivum (bread wheat)
Lineage: Eukaryota; Viridiplantae; Streptophyta; Magnoliopsida; Poales; Poaceae
Description: partial small subunit ribosomal RNA
Source: RNAcentral